Molecule: ribosomal RNA, 432 nt
Filed under: uncultured bacterium
Lineage: Bacteria
Description: bacterial SSU rRNA
Rfam family: Bacterial small subunit ribosomal RNA
Source: RNAcentral
AACGAACGCUGGCGGCAGGCCUAACACAUGCAAGUCGAGCGAACCCUUCGGGGUUAGCGGCGGACGGGUUAGUAACGCGUGGGAAUAUACCCUUUGGUACGGAAUAGCCUCGGGAAACUGAGAGUAAUACCGUAUGUGCCCUUCGGGGAAAGGAUUAUCGCCAAGGAUUAGCCCGCGUUGGAUUAGAUAGUUGGUGGGGUAAGUGGCCUACCAAGUCUACGAUCCAUAGCUGGUUUGAGAGGAUGAUCAGCAACACUGGGACUGAGACACGGCCCAGACUCCUACGGGAGGCAGCAGUGGGGAAUCUUAGACAAUGGGCGCAAGCCUGAUCUAGCCAUGCCGCGUGGACGAUGAAGGCCUUAGGGUUGUAAAGUCCUUUCAGAUGGGAAGAUAAUGACGGUACCAUCAGAAGAAGCCCCGGCUAACUCCGUG